GAUGAACGCUGGCGGCGUGCCUAAUACAUGCAAGUCGAGCGAACAGAUGAGGAGCUUGCUCCUCUGACGUUAGCGGCGGACGGGUGAGUAACACGUGGAUAACCUACCUAUAAGACUGGGAUAACUUCGGGAAACCGGAGCUAAUACCGGAUAGUAUAUUGAACCGCAUGGUUCAAUAGUGAAAGACGGUUUUGCUGUCACUUAUAGAUGGAUCCGCGCCGCAUUAGCUAGUUGGUAAGGUAACGGCUUACCAAGGCAACGAUGCGUAGCCGACCUGAGAGGGUGAUCGGCCACACUGGAACUGAGACACGGUCCAGACUCCUACGGGAGGCAGCAGUAGGGAAUCUUCCGCAAUGGGCGAAAGCCUGACGGAGCAACGCCGCGUGAGUGAUGAAGGUCUUCGGAUCGUAAAACUCUGUUAUUAGGGAAGAACAAAUGUGUAAGUAACUAUGCACGUCUUGACGGUACCUAAUCAGAAAGCCACAGCUAACUACGUG
Molecule: ribosomal RNA, 497 nt
Filed under: uncultured bacterium
Lineage: Bacteria
Description: partial 16S ribosomal RNA
Rfam family: Bacterial small subunit ribosomal RNA
Source: RNAcentral